UGGGGAAUCUUCCGCAAUGGGCGAAAGCCUGACGGAGCAACGCCGCGUGAGUGAAGACGGCCUUCGGGUUGUAAAGCUCUGUUACACGGGACGAACGGGUUUUGUGCGAACAGCAUAAGACCGUGACGGUACCGUAGAAGAAAGCCACGGCUAACUACGUGCCAGCAGCCGCGGUAAUACGUAGGUGGCAAGCGUUGUCCGGAAUGAUUGGGCGUAAAGGGCGCGCAGGCGGCCGGCCAAGUCUGUCUAAAAAGUGCGGGGCUUAACCCCGUGAGGGGAGAGAAACUGGCCGGCUGAGAGUGUCGGAGAGGAAAGCGGAAUUCCUAGUGUAGCGGUGAAAUGCGUAGAUAUUAGGAGGAACACCGGUGGCGAAAGCGGCUUUCUGGACGACAACUGACGCUGAGGCGCGAAAGCCAGGGGAGCAAACGGGAUUAGAUACCCCGGUAGUCCUGGCCGUAAACGAUGGGUACUAGGUGUGGGAGGUAUCGACCCCUUCCGUGCCGGAGUUAACGCAAUAAGUACCCCGCCUGGGGAGUACGGCCGCAAGGUUG
This 551-nucleotide ribosomal RNA is filed under the name uncultured bacterium. RNAcentral's name for it is "bacterial SSU rRNA". It matches the Rfam family "Bacterial small subunit ribosomal RNA", at positions 355 to 896 of the family's 1533-position model. The record is from RNAcentral.